UACAGAGGUCUCGAGCGUUGUUCGGAUUCAUUGGGCGUAAAGGGUGCGUAGGUGGCAGGGUAAGUCGGAUGUGAAAUCCCGGAGCUUAACUCCGGAACUGCAUUCGAUACUGCCUUGCUAGAGUACUGGAGAGGAGAUCGGAAUUUACGGUGUAGCAGUGAAAUGCGUAGAUAUCGUAAGGAAGACCAGUGGCGAAGGCGGAUCUCUGGACAGUUACUGACACUGAGGCACGAAGGCCAGGGGAGCAAACGGG
RNAcentral lists this ribosomal RNA (253 nucleotides) under uncultured bacterium. Its description in RNAcentral is "partial 16S ribosomal RNA". It matches the Rfam family "Bacterial small subunit ribosomal RNA", at positions 524 to 776 of the family's 1533-position model. The record is from RNAcentral.